This is a long non-coding RNA of Salarias fasciatus (jewelled blenny), 351 nucleotides long. RefSeq lists it as uncharacterized. Lineage: Eukaryota; Metazoa; Chordata; Actinopteri; Blenniiformes; Blenniidae. The record is from RefSeq and is a predicted model, not a curated record. The transcript is spliced from 4 exons.
UGAUACGAGUCUCUAUUGCUCAGGUAAUGACCUGCACAGGCUCAUGGCCACAAUGGCCCAUGAGCUCACACUCCUUAAAGAAUAUUUUGACAAUAAUAAGCUGUCCAUGAAUCUGAGUAAAACCAAAUACAUUAUCUUUGGAAAUAAGACAAUAAAGAGCAACAUCAAUUUAAAUGUCAGUGAAUCAACAAUUGAGCGUGUGCAGGCCAGUAACUUUCUAGGCAUUACAGUCGAUGAUUAACUCUGUUGGAAGCAACUUAUACAUACUAUAAAGUCAAAAUUAGCAAAAAAUGUUGGUGUAAUAGGAAAAAUGAAAUCAGAGAUCAGAAGAGAGUCAGGUAGGAAAAGAGC